This 427-nucleotide ribosomal RNA is filed under the name uncultured bacterium. Its description in RNAcentral is "bacterial SSU rRNA". It matches the Rfam family "Bacterial small subunit ribosomal RNA", at positions 28 to 446 of the family's 1533-position model. The record is from RNAcentral.
GAUGAACGCUAGCGGCAGGCUUAACACAUGCAAGUCGAGGGGCAGCAUAAACAUUGCUUGCAAUGUUUGAUGGCGACCGGCGCACGGGUGCGUAACGCGUAUGCAACCUACCUGUAACAGGGGGAUAACACUGAGAAAUUGGUACUAAUACCCCGUAACAUCAAAGAGGGCAUCCUUUUUGGUUGAAAGUUCCGGCGGUUACAGAUGGGCAUGCGUUGUAUUAGCUAGAUGGUGAGGUAACGGCCCACCAAGUCUGCGAUCCAUAGCCGGACUGAGAGGUUGAACGGCCACAUUGGAACUGAGACACGGCCCAGACUCCUACGGGAGGCAGCAGUGGGGAAUAUUGCGCAAUGGGGGCAACCCUGACGCAGCAACGCCGCGUGCAGGAAGAAGGUCUUCGGGAUUGUAAACUGUUGUCGCAAGGGAA